Molecule: ribosomal RNA, 491 nt
Filed under: uncultured bacterium
Lineage: Bacteria
Description: partial 16S ribosomal RNA
Rfam family: Bacterial small subunit ribosomal RNA
Source: RNAcentral
AGUGAACGCUGGCGGUAGGCCUAACACAUGCAAGUCGAACGGCAGCACAGUAAGAGCUUGCUCUUACGGGUGGCGAGUGGCGGACGGGUGAGGAAUACAUCGGAAUCUACUUUUUCGUGGGGGAUAACGUAGGGAAACUUACGCUAAUACCGCAUACGACCUACGGGUGAAAGCAGGGGAUCUUCGGACCUUGCGCGAUUGAAUGAGCCGAUGUCGGAUUAGCUAGUUGGCGGGGUAAAGGCCCACCAAGGCGACGAUCCGUAGCUGGUCUGAGAGGAUGAUCAGCCACACUGGAACGGAGACACGGCCCAGACCCUUAGGGGAGGCAGCAGUGGGGAAUAUUGGAAAAUGGGCGCAAGCCUGAUCCAGCCAUACCGGGUGGGUGAAGAAGGCCUUCGGGUUGUAAAGCCCUUUUGUUGGGAAAAAAAAGCAGCGGGUUAAUACCCCGCUGUUCUGACGGUACCAAAAGAAUAAGCCCCGGCUAACUUCGG